RNAcentral lists this ribosomal RNA (176 nucleotides) under uncultured Borrelia sp. RNAcentral's name for it is "partial 16S ribosomal RNA". It matches the Rfam family "Bacterial small subunit ribosomal RNA", at positions 358 to 526 of the family's 1533-position model. The record is from RNAcentral. Lineage: Bacteria; Pseudomonadati; Spirochaetota; Spirochaetia; Spirochaetales; Borreliaceae.
GAGAUCUUCCGCAAUGGGAGAAAGCCUGACAGAGCGACACUGCGUGAACGAAGAAGGUCGAAAGAUUGUAAAGUUCUUUUAUAAGUGAGGAAUAAGCUUUGUAGGAAAUGACAAAGUGAUGACGUUAAUUUAUGAAUAAGCCCCGGCUAAUUACGUGCCAGCAGCCGCGGUAAUAC